CUUUUAACAACGAUCUCUUGGUUCUCAUCGAUGAAGAACGCACGAAAUCAUAAGUAAUGAAUCAGAAUUCAGUAAUCAUCGAAUCUUUGAACGCACAUUCCCGCCAGCAUUCUGGCGCAUGCCUGUUCGAGCGUC
This 135-nucleotide ribosomal RNA is filed under the name Colletotrichum higginsianum. RNAcentral's name for it is "5.8S ribosomal RNA". It matches the Rfam family "5.8S ribosomal RNA". From Rfam's summary of the family: 5.8S ribosomal RNA (5.8S rRNA) is a component of the large subunit of the eukaryotic ribosome. The record is from RNAcentral. Lineage: Eukaryota; Fungi; Ascomycota; Sordariomycetes; Glomerellales; Glomerellaceae.